Molecule: long non-coding RNA, 1470 nt
Organism: Anolis carolinensis (green anole)
Lineage: Eukaryota; Metazoa; Chordata; Lepidosauria; Squamata; Anolidae
Exons: 2
Source: RefSeq, a predicted model, not a curated record
GAGCCUCGAGGAUCUUUUCACAGCUUGUGGUGUGCUGGAUUCAAAUUGACAAACAUUAUCACUGAUGAGAACCUUCAGAAUUCUGCUGUUGUGGCCCCAGUACCCCUAAAUCAGGUUUAGCACUGAUAACUACAUCACCUCCUGACAACAUAAAAUAAUAUGUAUAAGACUGGGAUUUGCAAUACAUUGUCAUCCAUAUUUAUUGUGAUGGAAGCUACAGAGAGAUGAAUGAGCUCACAGGAAACUUGAAAAGUGUUACUGCACAAUGCAAAGUAACAUGGUUAUGAAAAUACAAAAUGGAACAUUCAGGUGAUAAGGAGUUCAAUUUCAAAAUGGUAUAGUUCUUCCAUUUAAAAUAAAUAAAUAAAAAGGGCUGUGUCAUUUGAAGUGCAAUGCACGGGUAGAGAGAAGUGUUUAUGGGGUGGUGCAGUGUGUAGACAGUGUGAUCUGUGUUACUAGAGAACUAUUGGGUUGGGGGGGGGGGUUGUGCUACUACUGAAAUCCAUGUAAGCCCAGUGAACUUUUUCAGGAAAAGUAGGCUACAGUACACUAAACAUAUGGUCUACAGCUUGGGGACAGGGAAGUGAAGUAAAGAAAGGUUACAGCCAUAACACAUCACACCACCAUGUAGAUUCACCCAGUAUCAUAACAGAAGAAUUACAUAUAACAUCAAUGGCAACGUAGGAAUAGUGCACUACUUGGAGCCAAUUCAUAUUUUCUCCAGUGAAUUAAAAGGUAUGGCCAAAUAACAAGGGGAAACCUGAAAUGCAAAUUGUAUGCAACACUAAACAGUUACACGUCAUCCUCAUGUGAUGAUAUCCUCAGUCUCUAUUUUUAGAAUCUGAAUCCUGAAGGAGUUCUAAGUUGUUACAUUUCUUCUAAGGUGCUAAAAAAGUAUAUUCUAGAACAUGACCUUGGUUUCUACAAAUCUUUCACUCUGCCGUCACUAAAUGGCCAGAUUGUAUUAAAUGUUUCAGAAAUAAAAACAACAUGUAGCACAAAAAUAGCGCAGGACAAAAAUAUGUGUUCUGGGAAGUAUGCUGAUGGUUUUUAAAAAAACUUAUUUCAGAAAUACAUUGCUAGAUUCUACAAUUUGUAAGGAACUUACCCAUUUGUCUUGGCGUGGGCAAGAAAAGCUACACUCAUCUUGAAUCCACCCUGGCUGCCUCUUACAGGGUUUGCUGACUUCUGACUCUGCCAUCUGCUGUUGAAAUGACAAAAGCACACACACACUGUGAUACAUCAGGAUAUUAAAUGUUAUGCCAGGACAAUGGAUUCCUUCAGAAGAACAGAUCAGAAUGGCAAGAAUAGGAUGGAGCAGUGAUUCUGCUCCAUCCUCAGAAAAAUUUGGCUCAUAUUUUAUUGCAAGACAAUCCUACUGCAAUCCAAAUAUUGUCUACUUACUAAAAGAUCUUAGUUGCUCACUGUCACCUGAUACAAGGAGGAAAACUGCAAUUAAAAAGUGUUCAA